RNAcentral lists this unclassified non-coding RNA (306 nucleotides) under Entoloma sp. RNAcentral's name for it is "partial internal transcribed spacer region". The record is from RNAcentral. Lineage: Eukaryota; Fungi; Basidiomycota; Agaricomycetes; Agaricales; Entolomataceae.
GAGUCGUAACAAAGUUUUCAUAGGUGAACCUGCGGAAGGAUCAUUAUUGAACACACUUGAUUAUAUUUGCUGGCUCUCAGGAGCAUGUGUAUGUCCAAUUCAUUUUAAACCACCUGAGACCUUGUGUAGAUCUGAAUAAACUCUUGAAUAGGCUUGGUUUGAGGAUUGCCAUGUAAAAAUCAGCUGUUCUUGCAUUCAGAUCUAUGUUUUUCACAUACUCCACAUGAAUGUAUCAGAAUGUUGCUUAAUUGGCCUUUGCGCCUUAAAAAUAAAAUACAACUUUCAACAACGGAUCUCUUGGCUCUU